AAAAUCCGUUGACUUUUAAAAUCGUGAGGGUUCAAGUCCCUCUAUCCCCAACUCUACUCCCCCAA
This 65-nucleotide transfer RNA is filed under the name Draba stylaris. RNAcentral describes it as "partial tRNA-Leu". The record is from RNAcentral. Lineage: Eukaryota; Viridiplantae; Streptophyta; Magnoliopsida; Brassicales; Brassicaceae.